Molecule: ribosomal RNA, 497 nt
Filed under: uncultured bacterium
Lineage: Bacteria
Description: partial 16S ribosomal RNA
Rfam family: Bacterial small subunit ribosomal RNA
Source: RNAcentral
GAUGAACGCUGGCGGCGUGCCUAAUACAUGCAAGUCGAGCGAACAGACGAGGAGCUUGCUCCUCUGACGUUAGCGGCGGACGGGUGAGUAACACGUGGAUAACCUACCUAUAAGACUGGGAUAACUUCGGGAAACCGGAGCUAAUACCGGAUAAUAUAUUGAACCGCAUGGUUCAAUAGUGAAAGACGGUUUUGCUGUCACUUAUAGAUGGAUCCGCGCCGCAUUAGCUAGUUGGUAAGGUAACGGCUUACCAAGGCAACGAUGCGUAGCCGACCUGAGAGGGAGAUCGGCCACACUGGAACUGAGACACGGUCCAGACUCCGACGGGAGGCAGCAGUAGGGAAUCUUCCGCAAUGGGCGAAAGCUUGACGGAGCAACGCCGCGUGAGUGAUGAAGGUCUUCGGAUCGUAAAACUCUGUUAUUAGGGAAGAACAAAUGUGUAAGUAACUAUGCACGUCUUGACGGUACCUAAUCAGAAAGCCACGGCUAACUACGUG